RNAcentral lists this long non-coding RNA (20181 nucleotides) under Triticum aestivum (bread wheat). Its description in RNAcentral is "long non-coding RNA (TAES_LNC004249)". The record is from RNAcentral. Lineage: Eukaryota; Viridiplantae; Streptophyta; Magnoliopsida; Poales; Poaceae.
UUGUUUUUUUUGUUGAGAGCUGCUCAGAUGUCCAAAUGACUUGAAAUUUGGAGCGGGCCUCACGCAUCAAAUUGUCUACCACACAAAAUAAAAUUUGGAAUCUUUUGAAAAAAAAUCGAUUUUUUUACAAAUUUUUUUCUAGCCGGGCGCAGAUGAGACUGAGCACCGAAACGCCCUACUCCAUGGUUAUGAUGUUCUUACAGGCUGCAUAUUUUUUAGUUAAAAUACUGUCAGUGCUAAAGUUACCAGAGUUACCAAUGCCUUGGAGUUCUUCCGAACAGAGACAUGAUAACAAGCCCACAAUGCCCUCUUUGUACUUCUGAUUGCGAGAGUGUUCGGCAUGCUCUACUCCUAUGUCCUCGUGUGAAUGAAAUCUGGAGAAUAUUGGGUCUACAAUGGAUGGCCAAUGAUAUGUGCCAAACUGAUCGCGAUUGUGUACACAGUACACCUAAUGGCCUGGCGCCCCUAGCUCCGGGUAUCGAUUGCGAGAUAUUGAUCAUCGUAACCAUUUGGUAUAUCUGAUGGGAGAUAAGGAAAUUCACGCAUGUCGAGAAGUUGCUCGAACUGGCAAGAUCGGGACUCAGGGACGGCUUUCUUUUGGCGACCAACGUGGGCUGCAAGAAACUCCAAUAGAAGCAGACUGCAUGGAGGUAAUCAAAGUGAUGCAAAACGGAGGCAAUUCUUUGGGCUCAAACAUUGUCAUGGCUCCGUCGUUGACGACGUCACCAGACAACCGGCAGCUGGAGUGGGCCUAGCCUGUGCUGUAUGUGGCAAAAUUUCAUGUUUUGACCCUUUUUGCAAACAAAAUCAGGAUCUGACCCUUGUUCGAAAAUAUUUCGGGAUCUGAUCCUUUUGCCUACCGCCAGGGGGUCUGGCGGUAGGUUUGCACGUCCUACCGCCGUCCCCUCUGGCGGUAGGUCCUUUGACGGCGACUGACGGCCGUUGGUAGGCGCUGACGUGGAAAAGGGCCUACCGCCAUCGGGUACGGCGGUAGGUUAGUGAAGCCUACCGCCAGACCCUCUGGCGGUAGGGUCCUGUGUGGUGGAUAAGGUGGGGAGGGGCUGGUUUGUGGGCCCCACCACCACUCUUCUUCCCCACUCAUCUUCUUCCCCGUGCUCAGCUCCUCUCCCCCCUCUCUCCCCUCACAANNNNNNNNNNNNNNNNNNNNNNNNNNNNNNNNNNNNNNNNNNNNNNNNNNNNNNNNNNNNNNNNNNNNNNNNNNNNNNNNNNNNNNNNNNNNNNNNNNNNNNNNNNNNNNNNNNNNNNNNNNNNNNNNNNNNNNNNNNNNNNNNNNNNNNNNNNNNNNNNNNNNNNNNNNNNNNNNNNNNNNNNNNNNNNNNNNNNNNNNNNNNNNNNNNNNNNNNNNNNNNNNNNNNNNNNNNNNNNNNNNNNNNNNNNNNCCACUCCACUUGCUUGAGAUUUCAUCGUGGAUCCGGAGCAUUUUCAUCACCCAAGGUACCUCUCCCAUUCCCCCUCCUUUUGAUUGGUUGAGAUCUUUGUUUCGUGUUGAUUUGGUCAAUUUAUUGCAAACCCUAGGUGUUGAUGUUGUUGUGUGCAUUUAUGAUGCAUUUAUGGUUAGGGUUAUGGUUAUGUUAGGGGUUAGUGUUAGGGUUAGGGUUAGGGUUAUGGUGGUUAUGUUGGGGGUUAGGGUUAUAGGGGUUAUGGUUAGGGUUGGGGUUAAUGGUUAGGUUAACUUUAGUAUGAAUAGUAGUUACUUGUCCAAUUUAUGCAAAAUUUAGUUCAUUUGUCCAUUUGUGUUGGUUGGAUGACAUAUAUGGAUCGAUUAUAUUGUUUCCAAUUUCUUAGAUGCAUAAGCUUGUAAAUGUUCAUUAUUUGGACAAGUCGACAUUUAUGCUUGGAAAUGACGAUGAAGGGGAAGAGGCUAUGGUUUUUGACACAAGUCCAAGCUUUGAUGAUCUUGUAGUUAAAGUGAAAAGCGUUUUACAUUGGAAUGACUCAAAUGCCAUGGUUAAGCUUAUUGGGAGGUAUGACGUUGGAUUGGGAGUAAAGUCCCGAUUAAAGAGUAUGCCCAUCACCUCCCAAUUGCAUUGGAAUGUGUACAAGGAAAAAGUAGACGCAUCACAAGACAAGUCUCUUGAGAUCUUUGCCACAAAGGUUGAUCCUCCUCCUCCUUUGCAAAUUGAUCUCAACCGCAAUGCAUCCUCCCCCAUACAUGAUGAUAGUGCCGAGGUGUAUGUCCCCAAUUGUUCUAGCCAACCACCAAGUAGCCAACCCAAUGAAGAUCAUAUCAAUGCUACCGCCAUAGUACUCCGUCAUGAUGCUAUUCCUCAUGUUGAAGAAGAUGCUAGUGGUCAUGUUGAUGAUGAUGCUAUUGUUGCUCAAGAGGAUGCUUACUCGGAGAAUGAAGAGAUCCAUUACAAUCCAAUUGGUAACUUGGAUAUCAUUGUGCGGCAACAAGACAUGGACUGUACCCUCCCUUAUAACCGUAUGUGUGGGUAUAACUCGGAUGACGAGGGUCCGGAGGAAGAGUUGGAUGAGGAUGGGUUGACUGCACAAGAAAACGAAAUCUACAAGAAGGUGACCGCAAGGAGAGACGGCCGCCGUUGUUUAGGGAUGUGAGUCUUGCGGACAAUGCCGUCGUUGACGGUGGGCUGAGAUUCUGGUUGUCUGAGCCAACGCCGUGCCCCAAAUUCAGUGAUCCUCGACCAGAAAAUGAGGAUGAGAAUGCUCAUUUGAAGAAAGGCAUCAAGUUUGGUUCUUUGGUAGAGUUCAAGAUAUGGUUGUGUGACUAUGCCAUUAGGAACCAUAGGCCGUUUGUUGUUGGUCAUUCGAAUCAAAAACUUCGGUACACAGUCAAAUGUGACCAAGAAGGUUGCAAAUGGAUGGUCCGCGAUAGAAAAAUCAAAGAAAUCGGGCAAUGGGUGUUGAAGAGUCAUGUUGGCACUCACACGUGCGUACCCCCGGACAAGGCCCACCGAAGCAAAGGACACCGUCAACUCACGUCUGAGUAUCUAGGAUACAAAUUGUUGCAUCAAAUAGCACAUGAUCCAACCAUGAAGGUCAAGUUUCUCAUGUCUUCGAUUGAGGAACUUUUCGGAUACCCAUUCAAGUAUGGGAAGGCAUGGAUGGCGAAGGCAAACGUUAUUAGGAUGUUGCAUGGUGAUUAUGAGGCCGCAUAUAACAUUCUUCCCAAGAUGUUGGCAGCCGUUCAUCGAAACCCGGGAAUGCGCCAUCGGGUGGAGUCAAUUGACGGAGUGUUUCGUCGUGCCUUCUGGAGCAUUGAGGCAUUCCCGUAUUGUCUCCCGGUCUUGUCUAUAGAUGGUACAUUCUUGACCGGCAAAUACAAGGGCACAUUGAUGGUUGCGAUGGCCCAAUCUUCAAAUGAUAACGUGUUGCCGGUGGCAUUUGCCUUGGUGCCUUCGGAGCACGAUGAUAAUUGGGAGUGGUUCAUGGGGCAUGUGAGAACCAAGAUGAUAGACAAGCGAGAGGUAUGCAUUAUAUCGGAUCGCCAUCAUGGGAUUCUCAAAGCAAUAGACGUUGAUAUUCCCGGUCUUCCAAAGCUUCAACACCGUUGGUGCAUGAGACACUUUGUUGCAAACUUUUACCGGACAUGCAAGAGCAAAGAGUUUUGCAAAGACCUUACCCUUGUUUGCGUUGCAUUCAACACCGACACAUUCAAAAGCCGAUAUGAUAAACUCCUCAAGGCUUUGGAGAAGAACAAAGCGGGAAAAGAAUUCUUGCUUAGGCACGAGCCGGAUAAAGAAAAGUGGUCACGGGCUUACGAUGAAGGAGGUAUGCGAUAUGGGGAUAUGACAAGCAACAUGGUGGAAUGCUUCAACAAUGUGUUGAAGGGUGUCUGUUCCUUGCCGGUGACCGCAAUACUCAAGUACACUUUCAUCAAGCUCAAUGAGUACUUCCUAAAGCAUUCUGAAAGCACGGCCAAGUGGAUUGGCGAAAAGAUGGACUAUCCAUUAAAGGUUCAUGAUUGGUUGUUGCAUCAAGCGCGCAAGUCUGCCAAACAACAAGUGAUCAAAUAUAAUGAAAAAGAAAUGAUCUAUCAAAUCGAUGAGCUGGGUGGGACAACAAGGGAUGGUAGGUCUUAUGGUGGAGUUGCUUAUGAGGUGCGUCUGAAAACCCGUUGGUGCCAGUGUGAGAGGCCACACAAGUAUCAUUGGCCUUGCUCGUAUUUUAUGACCGCAACACGGGCGAGAAACGUGCGCGUAUCCGAUGGCACAACGGCGCGGUUGCAGGAGUUCACAUUGGAACGAACAAGGUUGACAUGGGCGCCUCGGUUCAAUCCUUUCCUUGAUGCCUCACAGUGGCCUGAGUAUGUUGGGCCAGACAUUGUGCCAGAUCCCGCACUCAUGGUGCCUAUGAGGGGAAGAAGAAGAAAGAAGAGAUUCCGGAGUGACAUGGAUGAUCUAGCUGGAUACACCGGAAUGAAGCAAUUUGGUAGUGGUCAUUUCAUGGAGCCACCGGAGAACAACAAUUGUGGAGAAUGCAACGACACAAGACACAACGUUAGGACAUGCAAGAAACCAAGAACCAACACGGGCACUAGUCAAACACGUGGACGGAGGACUAGCCUUGGAGGUGGCCGUGGCCGUGGAGGGGGCCGUGGCCGUGGAGGAAGGACUAGCCUUGGAGGUGGCCGUGGCCGUGGAGGAAGGACUAGCCUUGGAGGGGGCCGUGGCCAUGGAUCCGGUGGUUCUAGGACACGUCGGGUUGAUAGGGGAAGGCCUAUCGACGUGUUGCUCAAUCCGGAUGGUUGAAAUAAUGUGAAUGGUACUACUUUUAAUAUGUUCAUGCAUGUGUUGAUAUAUUUGCCUCUUUACAUGUCAAUGUGUUCAUAUUUAGACUUAACAUCUUUAUUUGUUGUAGGGCAUGGCUUCAUCCGGUUCCAUGACGAGGCCACCGUGUGCUCACCAAGAAGACAUGCCACACAAGUGGAAGGACGCAUCUUUGGACAAGGUGAAGGAGAAUGAUGUGAAGAUUCCGCCAUGUUGGUGUGGAGAUGUUUGCAAGGUGAAGGAGUCCACCAACCGAAAGAAGUCAUGGACCGAAGGAAGGAGAUAUUUUGUUUGCCCUAAUUAUGCUUACGAUCGUGCGCUUCCAACUAACUCCUAUGACCUUCCACCGGUAUGCUAGAGAAGUAACAUGUUACUCUAAAAUGUGUGUCAACACUAACAUCCGUUUUAUAUGGAGUCACCGCCUCCUCUAUGCAAGUACUUCAGCUGGAUAGAUCAUGAAGUGCCAAAAGAUAUCCAAAAGGGCCAAUUAGAAGAUUGUCUUAGGCGCCAGUGGCUGUUCGAAGAAAGAUUUCAAAGAGGCUUGGAGGAAGAGCGUCGUCAGAAAGAGAGGAUGGAGCGGAAGCAACGCGAGGAUGAGAGGGCACGCCAAGCGAAGCUUGCUCGUGAGGAGGAGAGGGCAAGAAAGCUUGCAAAAGCUCGCAAGGCACAAAAGGAGGAAGAGGCACGUGACAAGAAGGGGAAAUGGCCCCGUAUGACUCAGUAAAGCCUUCGCUUCGGUGGACUCGUCAUGUAACCGGAUGAAGCCAUGCCAAAUUUAUCAUGAACUAUAUAGUACUAAGGCAAGAAGCCAUGUGUCGUGAACUUGUCGUGAAUGAAUUUGCCGUUUGUAUUGAAUUUGGUGUGAAAAUGUUUGCAAGGUGUCGUGAAUGAAUUCAGUUUGUCAUCAUAUUCUGUGAUUUGUCAUGAUUCUUAUUAAAAAAUUGUUGGGCUGGGAAGAGAAGAGGGAUAGAACAGAACAGAGUGCUCUGUUUUUAGAGUUUACAACCCUACCACCAGAGGCCCUGGCGGUAGGCUGCUGUCGUUGGAAAUAUGCCCUAGAGGCAAUAAUAAAAUAGUUAUUAUUAUAUUUCCUUGUUCAUGAUAAUCGUUUAUUAUCCAUGCUAGAAUUGUAUUGAUAGGAAACUCAGAUACAUGUGUGGAUACAUAGACAACACCAUGUCCCUAGUAAGCCUCUAGUUGACUAGCUCGUUGAUCAAUAGAUGGUUACGGUUUCCUGACCAUGGACAUUGGAUGUCGUUGAUAACGGGAUCACAUCAUUAGGAGAAUGAUGUGAUGGACAAGACCCAAUCCUAAGCCUAGCACAAGAUCGUGUAGUUCGUUUGCUAAGAGCUUUUCUAAUGUCAAGUAUCAUUUCCUUAGACCAUGAGAUUGUGCAACUCCCGGAUACCGUAGGAAUGCUUUGGGUGUACCAAACGUCACAACGUAACUGGGUGGCUAUAAAGGUGCACUACAGGUAUCUCCGAAAGUGUCUGUUGGCUUGGCACGAAUCGAGACUGGGAUUUGUCACUCCGUGUAAACGGAGAGGUAUCUCUAGGCCCACUCGGUAGGACAUCAUCAUAAUUUGCACAAUGUGACCAAGGAGUUGAUCACGGGAUGAUGUGUUACGGAACGAGUAAAGAGACUUGCCGGUAACGAGAUUGAACAAGGUAUCGGGAUACCGACGAUCGAAUCUCGGGCAAGUAACAUACCGAUUGACAAAGGGAAUUGUAUACGGGAUUGAUUGAAUCCUCGACAUCGUGGAACAUGUGGGAGCCAACAUGGGUAUCCAGAUCCCGCUGUUGGUUAUUGACCGGAGAGUCGUCUCGGUCAUGUCUGCAUGUCUCCCGAACCCGUAGGGUCUACACACUUAAGGUUCGGUGACGCUAGGGUUGUAGAGAUAUUAGUAUGCGGUAACCCGAAAGUUGUUCGGAGUCCCGGAUGUGAUCCCGGACGUCACGAGGAGUUCUGGAAUGGUCCGGAGGUAAAGAUUUAUAUAUGGGAAGUCUUAUUUUGGUCGCCGGAAAAGUUUCGCGCAUUAUCGGUAUUGUACCGGGAGUGCCGAAAGGGGUCUGGGGGUCCACCAAAGGGGUCCAUUAGCCCUGGGGGGCCACAUGGGCUGUAGGGGUGUGCGCCUUGUCCUUUAUGGGCCAAGGGCACCAGCCCCAAGAGGCCCAUGCGCCAAGAGAUAAGGGAAAGGAAGAGUCCUAAAGAGGGAAGGCACCUCCGAGGUGCCUUGGGGAGGAUGGACUCCUCCCUGGCCGCACCCUUCCUUGGAGGAAGGGCCAAGGCUGCGCCCCCCCCCCCCCUCUCCCUUGGCCCUAUAUAUAGUGGGGGGAGGGAGGGCAGCAAUACCUAAGCCCUGGCGCCUCCCUCUCCCUCCCGUGACACAUCUCCCUCCUCCCGCAGCGCUUGGCGAAGCCCUGUUGGAAUCCCGCUACUUCCACCACCACGCCGUCGUGCUGCUGGAUCUCCAUCAACCUCUCCUCCCCCCUUGCUAGAUCAAGAAGGAGGAGACGUCGCUGCUCCGUAUGUGUGUUGAACGCGGAGGUGCCGUCCGUUCUGCGCUAGGAUCAUCGGUGAUUUGGAUCACGACGAGUACGACUCCAUCAACCCCGUUCUCUUGAACGCUUCCGCUCGCGAUCUACAAGGGUAUGUAGAUGCACUCCUCUCUCUCGUUGCUAGAUGACUCCAUAGAUUGAUCUUGGUGAUGCGUAGAAAAUUUUGAAUUUCUGCUACGUUCCCCAACAGUGGCAUCAUGAGCUAGGUCUAUGCGUAGUUUCUAUGCACGAGUAGAACACAAAGUAGUUGUGGGCGUCGAUUUUGUCAAUUUACUUGCCGUUACUAGUCUUAUCUUGAUUCGGCCGCAUCGUCGGAUGAAGCGGCCCGGACCGACCUUACACGUACACUUACGUGAGACAGGUUCCAUCGACUGACAUGCACUAGUUGCAUAAGGUGGCUAGCGGGUGUCUGUCUCUCCCACUUUAGUCGGAUCGGAUUCGAUGAAAAGGGUCCUUAUGAAGGGUAAAUAGAAAUUGGCAUAUCACGUUGUGGCUUUUGCGUAGGUAAGAAACGUUCUUGCUAGAAACCCAUAGCAGCCACGUAAAACAUGCAACAACAAUUAGAGGACGUCUAACUUGUUUUUGCAGGGAAUGCUAUGUGAUGUGAUAUGGCCAAAAGGAUGUGAUGAAUGAUAUAUGUGAUGUAUGAGAUUGAUCAUGUUCUUGUAAUAGGAAUCACGACUUGCAUGUCGAUGAGUAUGACAACCGGCAGGAGCCAUAGGAGUUGUCUUAAUUUAUUGUAUGACCUGCGUGUCAAUGAAAAAGCCAUGUAAUUACUUUACUUUAUUGCUAACCGUUAGCCAUAGUAGUAGAAGUAAUAGUUGGCGAGACAACUUCAUGAAGACACGAUGAUGGAGAUCAUGAUGAGGGAGAUCAUGGUGUCAUGCCGGUGACGAAGGUGAUCAUGCCGUGCCUCGAAGAUGGAGAUCAAAAGGCGCAAGAUGAUAUUGGCCAUAUCAUGUCACUUUGUGAUUUGCAUGUGAUGUUUGUCAUGUUUACAUCUUAUUUUCUUAGAACGACGGUAGCAUAAAUAAGAUGAUCCCUCACUAAAAUUUCAAGAGACGUGUUCCCCCUAACUGUGCACCGUUGCGAAGGUUCGUUGUUUCGAAGCACCACGUGAUGAUCGGGUGUGAUAGAUUCUAACGUUCGCAUACAACGGGUGUUGACGAGCCUAGCAUGUACAGACAUGGCCUCGGAACACAUGCGAAACACUUAGGUUGACUUGACGAGCCUAGCAUGUACAGACAUGGCCUCGGAACACAAGAGAUCGAAAGGUCGAACAUGAGUCGUAUAGUAGAUGCGAUCAACAUGGAGAUGUUCACCGAUGAUGACUAGUCCGUCUCACGUGAUGAUCGGACACGGCCUAGUUUGACUCGGAUCAUGUAUCACUUAGAUGACUAGAGGGAUGUCUAUCUGAGUGGGAGUUCAUUAAAUAAUCAGAUGAACUUCAUUAUCAUGAACAUAGUCAAAAGGUCUUUGCAAAUUAUGUCGUAGCUUACGCUUUAGUUCUACUAAGAUAUGUUCCUAGAGAAAACUUAGUUGAAAGUUGAUAGUAGCAAUUAUGCGGACUGGGUCCGUAAACUGAGGAUUGUCCUCAUUGCUGCACAGAAGGCUUAUGUCCUUAAUGCACCGCUCGGUGUGCUGAACCUCAGCGUCGUCUGUAGAUGUUGUGAAACGUCUGACAUACACGUUUUGAUGACUACGUGAUAGUUCAGUGCGUAGUGCUAACGGUUUAGAAUUGUGGCACCAAAAACGUUUUUGAAACGUCGCAGAACAUAUGAGAUGUUCCGAAGACUGAAAUUGGGAUUUCAGAAUAGUGCCCACGUCAAGAGGUAUGAGACCUCUGACAAGUUUCUUAAGCCUGCAAACUAAGGGAGAAAAGCUCAAUCGUUGAGCAUGUGCUCAGAUUGUCUAAGUACUACAAUCGCUUGAAUCGAGUGGGAGUUAAUCUUUCAGAUGAGAUAGUGAUGGUUCUCCAUAGUCACUGCUACCAAGCUAUUAGAGCUUCGUGAUGAACUAUAACAUAUCAGGGAUAGAUAUGAUGAUCCUUGAGCAACUCGCGAUGUUUGACACCGCGAAAGUAGAAAUCAAGAAGGAGCAUCAAUUGUUGAUGGUUAGUAAAACCACUAGUUUCUAGAAGGGCAAUGGCAAAAGGGAUACUUCAUGAAAUAGCAAAUCAUUUGCUGCUCUAGUAUAGAAUCCCAAGGUUGAACCCAAACCCGAGACUAAGUGCUUCUGUAAUGAGGGGAACGGUCACUGAAGCAGAACUACCCUAGAUACUUGGUAGAUGAGAAGGCAGGCAAGGUCGACAGAAGUAUAUUGGAUAUACAUUAUAUGAAUGUGUACUUUACUAGUACUCCUAGAAGCACCAGGGUAUUAGAUACCGUUUCGGUUGCUAAGUGUUAGUAACUCAAAAUAAAAGUUGCGGAAUAAACGAAGACUAGCUAAAGGUGAGAUGACGAUAUGUGUUGGAAGUGUUUCCAAGGUUGAUGUGAUCAAGCAUCGCAUGCUCCCUCUACCAUCGAGAUUGGUGUUAAACCUAAAUAAUUGUUAUUUGGUGUUUGCGUUGAGCAUAAACAUGAUUGGAUUAUGUUUAUCGCAAUACGGUUAUUCAUUUAAGGAGAAUAAUGGUUACUCUGUUUAUUUGAAUAAUACCUUCAAUGGUCUUGCACCUAAAAUGAAUCUCGAUCGUAGUGAUACACAUGUUCAUGCCAAAAGAUAUAAGAUAGUAAUGAUAGUACCACAUACUUGUGGCACUGCUAUUUGAGUCAUAUUGGGAUAGAACGCAUGACGAAGCUCCAUGUAGAUGGAACUUUGGACUCACUCGUUUUUUAAAAGAUUGAGACAUGCGAACCAUGUCUAUUGGUAUAUAUGCAUGAAGAAACUCCAUGCAGAUGGAUCGUUUGGACUCACUUGAUUUUGAAUCACUUGAGACAUGCAAAUUAUACCACAUGGGCAAGAUGACUGAAAGGCCUCGUUUUCAGUAAAAUGGAACAAGAGAGCAACUUGUUGGAAGAAAUACAUUUGAUGUGUGCAGUCCAAUGAGUGCUGAGGCACGCAGUGGAUAUCGAUAUGUUCUUACUUCACAGAUGAUUUGAGUAGAUGCUAAGAAUAUUUACUUGAUGAAACACAAGUCUGAAUUAUUGAAAGGUUCAAGUAAUUUCAGAGUGAAGUUGAAGAUCGUCGUGACAAGAGGAUAAAAUGUCUGUGAUAUGAUCAUGGAGAUGAGUAUCUGAGUUAUGAGUUUGGCACACAAUUAAGACAUUGUGGAAAGUGUUCCACAAUUAAUACCGCCUGGAACACCACAGUGUGAUGGUGUGUCCGAACAUCAUAACUGCACCCUAUUGGAUAUGGUGCAUACCAUGAUGUCUCUUAUCGAAUUACCACUAUCAUUCAUGGGUUAGGCAUUAGAGACAACCGCAUUCACUUUAAAUAGGGCACCACGCAAUUCCGUUAAGACGACACCGUAUGAACUAUGGUUUAGAGAAACCUAAGCUGUCGUUUCUUAAAAGUUUGGAGCUGCGAUGCUUAUGUGAAAAAGUUUCAGGCUAAUAAGCUCGAAACCAAAGCGGAUAAAUGCAUAUUCAUAGAAUACCCAAAACAGUUGGGUAUACCUCCUAUUUCAGAUCUGGAAGCAAAAGUAAUUGCUUCUAGAAAUGAGUCCUUUCUCGAGGAAAAGUUCUCUCGAAAGAAUUGAGUGGGAGGAUGGUGGAGACUUGAUGAGGUUGUUGAACCGUCACUUCAACUAGUGUGUAGCAGGGCACAAGAAGUUGUUCCUGUGGCACCUACACCAAUUGAAGUGGAAGCUUAUGAUAGUGAUCAUGAAACUUCGGAUCAAGUCACUACCAAACCUCGUAGGACGACGAGGAUGCGUACUAAUUCAGAGUGGUACGUAAUCCUGUCUUGGAAGUCAUGUUGCUAGACAACAAUGAACCUACGAGCUAUGGAGAAGCGAUGGUGGGCUCGGAUUCCGACGAAUGGCUCGAGGCCAUAAAAUCCGAGAGAGGAUCCAUGUAUAAAAGCAAAGUAUAGACUUUGGAAGAAAUACUUGAUGGUCGUGAGGCUGUUGGGUGCAGAUGGAUUUUAAAAGGAAGACAGACAAUGAUGGUAAGUGUCACCAUUAAGAAAGCUCGGCUUGUCGUUAAGAUGUUUUCCGACAAGUUCAAGGAGUUGACUACGAUGAGACUUUCUCACUCGUAGCGAUGCUAAGAGUCUGUUGGAAUUGUAUUAGCAGUCUUGCAGAUAGGAUGUCAAAACAUUGUUUCCUCGACGAUUUUCUUGAGGAAAGGUUGUAUGUGAUACAACCAGAAGGUUUUUGUCAAUCCUGAAAGAUGCUAACAAGUGUGCAAAGCUCCAGCAAUCCUUCUAAGGACUGGAGUAAGCAUCUCGGAGUUGGAAUGUACGCUUUGAUGAGAUGAUCAAAGAUUUUGGGUUUGUACAAAGUUUGUUAGAAACUUGUAUUUACAAUAAAGUGAGUGGGAGCGCUACAACAUUUUUGAUAAGUAUAUGUGAAUGACAUAUUGUUGAUCCGAAAUGAUGUAGAAUUUCUGGAAAGCGUAAAGGGUUGUUUGAAAAGUGUUUUUCAAUGCAAAACCUGGAUUAAGCUGCUUACAUAUUGGGCAUCAAGAUCUAUAGAGAUAGAUCAAGACGCCUGAUGAUACUUUCAAAGAACGCACACCUUGACAUGAUUUUGAAAGAGUUCAAAAUAGAUCAGCAAAGAAGGAGUUCUUGGCUGUGUUACAAGGUGUGAGUAUUGAGUAAGACUCAAGACCUGACCACAGCAGAAGAGAGAGAAAGGACGAAGGUCGUCCCCUAUGCUUUAGACGUAGGCUCUACAGUAUGCUAUGCUGUGUACCGCACAUGAAGUGUGCCUUGCCAUGAGUUGGUCAAGGGGUACAAUAGUGAUCAGGGAAUGGAUCACAUAACAACGGUCGAAUUUAUGCUUAGUAUCUAGUGGACUAAGGAAUUUUCUCGAUUAUGGAGGUGAAAAGGAGUUCGUCGUAAAGGGUUACGUCGAUGCGAACUUUGACACUAAUCCGGAUGACUCUGAGUAGUAAACCGGAUUCGUAUAGUAGAGCAGUUAUUUGAAAUGGCUCCAAAUAGCGCGUGGUAGCAUCCACAAGAUGACAUAGAUAUUCGUAAAGCACACACGGAUCUGAAAGGUUCAGACACGUUGACUAAUAACCUCUCUCACAAGCAUAACAUGAUCAAACCAGAACUCAUUGAGUGUUAAUCACAUAGUGAUGUGAACUAGAUUGUUGACUCUAGUAAACUCUUUGGAUGUUGGUCACAUGGUGAUGUGACCUAUGAGUGUUAAUCACAUGGCGAUGUGAACUAGAUUAUUGACUCUAGUGCAAGUGGGAGACUGUUGGAAAUAUGCCCUAGAGGCAAUAAUAAAAUGGUUAUUAUUAUAUUUCCUUGUUCAUGAUAAUCGUUUAUUAUCCAUGCUAGAAUUGUAUUGAUAGGAAACUCAGAUACAUGUGUGGAUACAUAGACAACACCAUGUCCCUAGUAAGCCUCUAGUUGACUAGCUCGUUGAUCAAUAGAUGGUUACGGUUUCCUGACCAUGGACAUUGGAUGUCGUUGAUAACGGGAUCACAUCAUUAGGAGAAUGAUGUGAUGGACAAGACCCAAUCCUAAGCCUAGCACAAGAUCGUGUAGUUCGUUUGCUAAGAGCUUUUCUAAUGUCAAGUAUCAUUUCCUUAGACCAUGAGAUUGUGCAACUCCCGGAUACCGUAGGAAUGCUUUGGGUGUACCAAACGUCACAACGUAACUGGGUGGCUAUAAAGGUGCACUACAGGUAUCUCCGAAAGUGUCUGUUGGCUUGGCACGAAUCGAGACUGGGAUUUGUCACUCCGUGUAAACGGAGAGGUAUCUCUAGGCCCACUCGGUAGGACAUCAUCAUAGUUUGCACAAUGUGACCAAGGAGUUGAUCACGGGAUGAUGUGUUACGGAACGAGUAAAGAGACUUGCCGGUAACGAGAUUGAAUAAGGUAUCGGGAUACCGACGAUCGAAUCUCGGGCAAGUAACAUACCGAUUGACAAAGGGAAUUGUAUACAGGAUUGAUUGAAUCCUCGACAUCGUGGUUCAUCCGAUGAGAACAUCAUGGAACAUGUGGGAGCCAACAUGGGUAUCCAGAUCCCGCUGUUGGUUAUUGACCGGAGAGUCGUCUCGGUCAUGUCUGCAUGUCUCCCGAACCCGUAGGGUCUACACACUUAACGUUCGGUGACACUAGGGUUGUAGAGAUAUUAGUAUGCGGUAACCCGAAAGUUGUUUGGAGUCCCGGAUGUGAUCCCGGACGUCAUGAGGAGUUCCGGAAUGGUCUGGAGGUAAAGAUUUAUAUAUGGGAAGUCUUAUUUUGGUCGCCGGAAAAGUUUCGCGCAUUAUCGGUAUUGUACCGGGAGUGCCGAAAGGGUCCGGGGGUCCACCAAAGGGGUCCAUCAGCCCCGGGGGGGCACAUGGGCUGUAGGGGUGUGCGCCUUGGCCUUUAUGGGCCAAGGGCACCAGCCCCAAGAGGCCCAUGCGCCAAGAGAUAAGGGAAAUGAAGAGUCCUAAAGGGGGAAGGCACCUCCGAGGUGCCUUGGGGAGGAUGGACUNNNNNNNNNNNNNNNNNNNNNNNNNNNNNNNNNNNNNNNNNNNNNNNNNNNNNNNNNNNNNNNNNNNNNNNNNNNNNNNNNNNNNNNNNNNNNNNNNNNNNNNNNNNNNNNNNNNNNNNNNNNNNNNNNNNNNNNNNNNNNNNNNNNNNNNNNNNNNNNNNNNNNNNNNNNNNNNNNNNNNNNNNNNNNNNNNNNNNNNNNNNNNNNNNNNNNNAUCGUAGCAUAAUUUUAAAAUUUUCCUACGUUCACCAAGAUGCAUCUAUGGAGUAUACUAGCAACGAGGGGAAGGGAGUGCAUCUACAUACCCUUGUAGAUCGCGAGCGGAAGCGUUCCAAUGAACGUGGAUGACGGAGUCGUACUCGCCGUGAUCCAAAUCACCGAUGACCGAGUGCCGAACGGACGGCACCUCCGCGUUCAACACACGUACGGUGCAGCGACGUCUCCUCCUUCUUGAUCCAGCAAGGGGGAAGGAGAGGUUGAUGGAGAUCCAGCAGCACGACGGCGUGGUGGUGGAUGUAGCGGUUCUCCGGCAGGGCUUCGCCGAGCUUCUGCGAGAGAGAGAGAGAGAGGUGUUGCAGGGGAGGAGGGAGGCGCCCAAGGCUGUAGGUUGCUGCCCUCCCUCCCCCCCCCUUAUAUAGGCCCCCUUGGGAGGAGGGGGCGGCCAAAACCCAUCUAGGGUUGGGGGGCGGCGGCCAAAGGGGGAAAGGGGUUGCCUUGCCCCCCAAGGCAAGGGGGAAGUCCCCCCACCCUAGGGUUCCCAACCCUAGGCGCAUGGGGGGAGGCCCAUGGGGGGGCGCCCAGCCCACUAGGGGAUGGUUCCCUUCCACUUUCAGCCCAUGGGGCCCUCCGGGAUAGGUGGCCCCACCCGGUGGACCCCCGGGACCCUUCCGGUGGUCCCGGUACAAUACCGGUAACCCCCGAAACUUUCCCGGUAGCCGAAACUGGACUUCCUAUAUAUAAUUCUUCACCUCCGGACCAUUCCGGAACCUCUCGUGACGUCCGGGAUCUCAUCCGGGACUCCGAACAACUUUCGGGUUUCCGCAUACAUAUAUCUCUACAACCCUAGCGUCACCGAACCUUAAGUGUGUAGACCCAACGGGUUCGGGAGACAUGCUGACAUGACCGAGACGCCUCUCCGGUCAAUAACCAACAGCGGGAUCUGGAUACCCAUGUUGGCUCCCACAUGUUCCACGAUGAUCUCAUCGGAUGAACCACGAUGUCGAGGAUUCAGUCAAUCCCGUAUACAAUUCCCUUUGUCAAUCGGUAUGUUACUUGCCCGAGAUUCGAUCGUCGGUAUCCCAAUACCUUGUUCAAUCUCGUUACCGGCAAGUCUCUUUACUCGUACCGCAAUGCAUGAUCCCGUGAUUAACGCCUUAGUCACAUUGAGCUCAUUAUGAUGAUGCAUUACCGAGUGGGCCCAGAGAUACCUCUCCGUCACACGGAGUGACAAAUCCCAGUCUCGAUCCGUGCCAACCCAACAGACACUUUCGGAGAUACCCGUAGUGCACCUUUAUAGUCACCCAGUUACGUUGUGACGUUUGGCACACCCAAAGCACUCCUACGGUAUCCGGGAGUUGCACGAUCUCAUGGUCUAAGGAAAAGAUACUUGACAUUGGAAAAGCUCUAGCAAACGAAACUACACGAUCUUUUAUGCUAUGCUUAGGAUUGGGUCUUGUCCAUCACAUCAUUCUCCUAAUGAUGUGAUCCCGUUAUCAAUGACAUCCAAUGUCCAUAGUCAGGAAACCACGACUAUCUGUUGAUCAACGAGCUAGUCAACUAGAGGCUUACUAGGGACACGUUGUGGUCUAUGCAUUCACACAUGUAUUACGAUUUCCGGACAAUACAAUUAUAGCAUGAAUAAUAGACAAUUACCAUGAACAAACAAAUAUAAUAAUAACCAUUUAUUAUUGCCUCUAGGGCAUAUUUCCAACAAGCAAUACCUAAGCCCUGGCGCCUCCCUCUCCCUCCCGUGACACAUCUCCCUCCUCCCGCAGCGCUUGGCGAAGCCCUGUUGGAAUCCCGCUACUUCCACCACCACGCCGUCGUGCUGCUGGAUCUCCAUCAACCUCUCCUCCCCCCUUGCUGGAUCAAGAAGGAGGAGACGUCGCUGCUCCGUAUGUGUGUUGAACGCGGAGGUGCCGUCCGUUCGGCGCUAGGAUCAUCGGUGAUUUGGAUCAUGACGAGUACGACUCCAUCAACCCCGUUCUCUUGAACGCUUCCGCUCGCGAUCUACAAGGGUAUGUAGAUGCACUCCUCUCUCUCGUUGCUAGAUGACUCCAUAGAUUGAUCUUGGUGAUGCGUAGAAAAUUUUGAAUUUCUGCUACGUUCCCCAACAGCUGUACCCUACCGCCAGAGCCCGUGGCGGUAGGGGGUGUAUAUUUUCUGUAACGAGAAACGCCAGCGCCCCCUACCGCCACGGGCUCUGGCGGUAGGGUACAGCAGCCUACCGCCAGGGCCUGUGGCGGUAGGGUUUGGUCCCUCCUUCUCUCCUCUGUUCUUCUCCUCUGUUUUGCCCCAUUUGUCGAAUGUCAGCAUAAUAUACCCAAUUCUAUCAAAUAUUAGAAUGAUCAUCUCGCAAGCACAUACAUAACUCAAUUCAACAUAGUUCAUUACAUUCACGAAUAACACAUGUUCAAACUUAUUAAAACAUGACCCGGUUCGGAUGACAUCGGUUGAAACUAAUAACUCAUGCUCAACGGCACAUUUUCUAAACAGGUAACAUAUUUCUCAUACUUAUCAGACGUUCAAUUUGAUCGUCACGCGCUUGAUUACGCUUCAGUUGAAAGUCUGUGGAUCCUGCCCAAUGACCCAACACACCAUUCGUUUCACGGAACCAAGCCCAUGCAACACGGCGAGCGGGAUUCUCUGACACGCCUUGUUUGAUUGCCCAUCCUAUGACCUGGUCGGGUUUCCUCAAGUCCAUCGCACGGAAUUCUUCUUUGCUUGCAGUGAACGCAAUCUCAACUGCCAAAGCGUGUCUGCAAGCAUAUUCCCGGUCUUGCAGCUCAUCAAGCAUCCUCUCUUUCUCCUUCACAAGCUUUCGGAAAGCUUUUUUCUCCUUAGCAUCAGAAGGUUCCUUGAUAAAGUGAUAUUUGUUGAAAUCCUUCAUGGCCGCAUUUGCCUCAUCACAACUCUUCAACCAUGCUUCACAUUCCUUCUUCAAGCAACGGUGUCGCUCCGCCAUGAUCUUCUCAUACGCUAUAUUCAUAGUCAUGGAUUGACUAUCCAUCCUACAUGAAUAUACGGGUUUAAGAUGACAUAAACCAAAACAUAAAAUAAAUUCAGUAGAGUACAACACUUGGUUACUUGAUAUGACAUACAACACCAAGUUCUUAAUGAGUUCAAAUGUUAAGGGUACAAGUCAUAGUAGUUCAAAUGAUGACCAAGCAUAGGGUACAUGUCAUUAUAGUCCAAAUGACAAAGAUUACAUAGCCUCAUGCAAUUCUAUGCGGCGCACGGUCCCGGGUUGCAACAAAUAACAUCAUUUCUUUCUUUGACCCAUGCCCAACGAGAAGCCCGGUUCUCGUCCGACGAGAAUGGGUGGCGAACUAACCAAUCAAUGACCUGACUAUGAUUGCCCAUGUCUAUCUCAGCAUAUUCUCCCCUUGUCACACACAAUGCAAUUUGCAUUGCAAGAUCACGCCUACAAUUUUUUCUGCCGUCUUGAGCUUCUUCAUCUGCCUCUUCUUUUUUGUUAUAAAAUUUUCGGAACGGUCUUUAUUGAAAUAAUUAUAUGAAAAUGCCCUACACUCCGCAUUCAACGCAUCAAUGGCUUCGAUCCACAAGUUCAUCUUUUCCUCAAUCAAUUCGCGUUCACGGUUCGCCGCCGCCUCAGCAGAAGUUUCAAAGAAAACGAACGGUGCCAUCCUACAUUUUGAAAAGUUGCUAUUAAAGUAACUUAGCUUUAAUUGCUUUCUUAAGCCUAACCCAAUCCCAAUUAUGUACAUUAAGACUAGCACUAGAUCUAGGUACACAAACUAUUCUACAAGCAAUUCUAAGCACAUCAUACAUAAGGAAAUCACAAACAUAAACCUAAAUGGAUCAGAGUAAUUGAUUUGACCACACCAAAAUGAUGAACUAGGGUUUGCAAUCAAAUGAGCAAAUGCAAAGUAAACAAAGAUAUCAGCCAAUCAAAAUGAGGGGAAAUGAGAAAGCCACCUUGAGUGAUGAAAAUGGUAAGAAUCCACCGGAGAAAUCUCAAACAAAUGAGAGAGAUUUGGGAGGCUCUUGUGCUUCAAACAAAGAGGGGGGAGAGUUGAGCUCGGUGGAGAGGUGAAGUGGCCUGAAUGAGUGGUUGAGAAGGGGGAGGAAAUAUCCAGCCCCUCCCCACCUUAUCCACCACACAGGUCCCUACCGCCAGAGGGUCUGGCAGUAGGCAAAAGGGUCAGAUCCCGAAAUAUUUUCGAACGGGGUCAGAUCCUGAUUUUGUUUGCAAAAAGGGUCAAAACACGAAAUUUUGCCGAUGAAGCCAUGACGUGCGUUGGGUUAUGUACCACUCCGAAGAAAAGAAAAUAAUCUAAACUCUCACGAGAAGUGUAUGGAUGAACCCGAAUACAUAUGAACCCAUUUUAAAAAACACAUUUCUAAAUGCUGAAAGAAAUCUAAAACAAAUUGCACAGGUAUGUCUCCAUGUGUGUGCAUAAAGUUUCACGGAAAAAUAAUAUUUUUUGUGGUAUGUGUAAAAAAACAAAAAAUUAUGUUGUGAAAACAUUAUUUAGAAGCACUGAAAUUUAUCCUUUUUGUGGAAACAAAACAAAAUGACAUUCUUUUCACAAAACUUUAUGCCGCACACACACAUUUGCGAACAUGUCUGCGUAAUAUUUUCUUUUAAAUUUUUUUACAUUUUAAAGCGUGCUUAAAAUGCAUUUUUGGAAAAAUGGGUGCAUAUGCCCAUGGCUUCAGGUGGUGCCCUCUCAAACUCUCACCUGCUUCUCUGUUUUCCCAUCCCCCUCUUUGUCUCUCUCAACUACCCCAAUUUUCCCAUCUGAUGCUGGACUUGGUGUGAGAUCCUCCCAGAGUCCUCACACAUAGCAGUGAUGUACUUCCUCCGUCUCAUAAUAUAAUAGCACCCUUUUUGACACUAAAACGAUGUUAUAUUAUGGGCUGGAGGAAGUAGUGGCAAAGUCUAGUUUUUAAAAUCAAUAAUUAUCUACAAGUAGUUUGACAACCCGUGUAUUUUUUGUCAAUUAAUAUGGACAGUAUCAGUAUCUCUUAUAGUACCAGUUGAUAACUUUUGAAAAAAUAAUACGUAUUAAAACGUUGAGAAGUAAUCCCUCCAUUCCUUUUUAUGUUCCUUUUUAUAAGGUGUAUUUGUUUUUUAAUAAAAUUUCAAAAUAUAAGGUGCAUUUCUUCUAAUUCUUCAUAAUUCCCUUGUUAGCCCUCAAAAAAGGAAAAUUAUCUCUAACCUGAUUGUCUAUAUCUCUCCUUGGCAAAAGAAAGAAAAUAUCUCUCUCUUGAUUGCAUGUAUCUCUUACUUUUCUAGACUAAUUGAUUUACUUGCCACUGAACAACAAAUUUGCCAAGGGUAAUUUCAUCUGAACAUGUCUAUAAUUAUGUGUCUUAAUCACCAUGCCAAAAAUAAUACAGCUUACAUAAAAAAAACUGAGGGAGUAUUAAUGACCGACGAGUCAACAGUUUGAUAACUUACAUAUGGCAAACUAGAAAAAAUCAUUGAAACAUACCAACAUGAGAUCCGAUUUCGAAAAUCUCAUCACAACGGAUUUAAUCAUAAAAACAGAUCUUAAUCCAGCUUUUGAAUAUUUUCUGGUUUAUCUGUAUGCAUGCAUUGUUGCAAAGGAAUGAGAUAGCAAGAACCACGGGUGAUGAACCAUUCAUGCCGCAGUUACACUAGGAAAAAGUUUUAUGCAUGCAUUGUUGCAAAGGAAUGAGAUAGCAAGAACCACGGGUGAUGAACCAUUCAUGCCGCAGUUACACUAGGAAAAAGUUUUAUGCAUGCAUUGUUGCAAAGGAAUGAGAUAGCAAGAACCACGGGUGAUGAACCAUGCAUGCCGCAGUUACACUAGGAAAAAGUGUUCGGUACUAUUAUUAGAUUCGUAACGUUCGUCAAAUAUAACACUCCAUUUGAUAAACCAAACUGUAAUUACACAACAACUGUGACCCUUAAACACCAUCCUGUGAUGUGGAAACGGACACUGCUUCUAGUCGACUUUCGUGAAUAAUUUUAUCUUCACGUAUCACAAUUUGUGAAAGUAGGGUGACAACGACCAAUCAAGCAGCCACUUUAACAUGUAUGAAGACCAGUCCCAACAAAUCAG